This is a long non-coding RNA of Anarrhichthys ocellatus (wolf-eel), 6095 nucleotides long. RefSeq lists it as uncharacterized. The record is from RefSeq and is a predicted model, not a curated record. NCBI's taxonomy places the organism in Eukaryota, Metazoa, Chordata, Actinopteri, Perciformes, Anarhichadidae. The transcript is spliced from 2 exons.
UGGCAACAUGAAAGAGGUGUCCAGAGGUGGCAACAUGAAACGGGAGUCCAGAGGUGACAACAUGAAACGGGAGUCCAGAGGUGACAACAUGAAACGGGUGUCCAGAGGUGACAACAUGAAACGGGUGUCCAGAGGUGACAACAUGAAACGGGAGUCCAGAGGUGACAACAUGAAACGGGAGUCUAGAGGAGUCCAGAGGAGGGAUGCUGCAGUUACAUGGUGACCGUGACCCCCACGGUCACAAUGAUUUUUCAUUCUUAACAGCGGAUCACUAAUUGAUCAAAGUGAUCAAUCUGCUUUAUUUUGUUUCAUUAACAUUGUGACCAGCAGUUUGCUUUCGAUGCUAUAAAUAAACCCUAUAAUUCAUGUUUAUGUCGAGGGCGCAGUAAAUACCUUGGCCACAAGAGGAUAUCAAACAACAUUAAGACAGAGAAAGAACCUGGAUCAGUACACUUCUUCUUAGGAGUGGGUUUGAUGAGGUGGAUUGGGUUGUUCUAUAUCAUCCAGACGUUCAGGAGAGUAGAGAUGGAGUCAUUGCACUGGCAUGUAUAACUGAGUAUCAUCUGCGUGACAAGGUCAAGAGAUUUUGUGUUCAAAUAUUGCGAAGUGGAAAAAGCUGCUGCUACUCGAUAAAUGAUCAGUGCAAAAUAUUUAGUACGCAAUGUCAAACUUCUUGAUCUUCUUCAGUUUAGCUGUGUUCUGUUAUUUGAGGUAACAGACGAUGAAAGCAGACUCGGAUAUAGAACGAUUGAGGUCUGUGAGCUUCAGAGUCUAAGAAGAAGAAAACACUAUUGUGUCCAAUGAUACAUCAGGUGUAGAUUCACAGGUGGAUUCUGACGUGUGUUUUUGGAGCGUGCCAUGAGAAGUGUGUUUUAGAAUGAAGAUAAAGCUCAACAGCAGGUUGAGACAAUGUGAAUACACCAGAACAAGAAAACACAAGGCUGUGCCUUUUUUCUUCUUCUGGUGAAACGGAAAGAAUCCAACAUUGUGGUUGGGCAGGCUGCUCCGGGUCUCUGCUGUUGGCUGAGUGCUGCUUAAUAAAGCCCUAAGCUCUGGACAUGACAGCAAAUUGGAGAGUUCGACACAGAAUAGACUCGCGAUUUGCUGGAAUGACUUGAAUUUGUUCUCCGCAGUCCAGACAGAGAAUGUAGAUUCCACCCUGGAACAUGACUGUGGAACAUGUCGUUCGUGUGUUUCCUCAGUGUGCUGGGAGACGUUGGACCGUAUGGGUCUGAGACGAGCCGUAGUCACAGCUGCGGAGAUGAGCCUUGUGCACAAGUAGCAGGACUGGAAUCUUUAAUCAAUAGACCUAAAAAACGAGGCUCUGUUUCUCGUGUUUGUGAUGGAUUCUGAUUCCCAUUCGACCAUCACAGACAGUAUUCAGUAUUCAGAGGGCAUUUUUGAUCCUGUGUUGGAAUGUGAGAUCUCGUGUGAAGCUAGCCUCCGUCUCAUCCCGCCCCGCUUCCUCUGGGGAAGGGAAACGUUGCUUCCAGCUCUGGAGAGUGGGAGGUUUUCUCUAAUUGACUCCAGAUGUGACAACAGCAGCAGCAGCGGGAGCUAGAACCAGAACAAAUGGAAAACACGUCGCUGUUCAAACACUACCUCAGCAUUAGAAAACACCGAUGGACACCAAUACUGCCAGGGCAGAGGGCGACCAGGUGGUAAUACUUUAGGUAACAAUGUUGUCCCUCGUGCAGGAAACCAUACAAGAAUACAUUUCCUCUCUUCUACAAGUGGUCCACAACAAUCUUACCAAGAUAAGAAACAGUCCACAAACUGUCCAUCGCAAGGAAACAAGUUUGAAAUGUAAUGAACAGAGUAAUUCUAACAAUUAGAUUAUCAAAUAAAUGAAAUACCAUUGGUCCAUUGAUCCCUUUCUCACUAUAAAGAAACCUUCUGAACGGGUGCCAUACUGCUGCCAUCACGUCUUUCAUGUCUUUGUUUCACUUCGUCUAUCAGAACCUGUUAGUGUGGGGAGGCAGCGGUGGCUCUGCUGGCUGUCUGCUGCCCUCUGCUGGACCGGCUGCCUUCCUUCUCCUCUCUACACAGGCCUGUAACCACAGUGUGGAACCAGCCAUCAAGUUCAGCAAAUGUACUUUCAUUGUCACUAUUUUAUUUCGAGGUCAGAGUGUGCACUACUGUCAUGCUUUCUUUCUGUCAUUCCAUCUGUAAUUUAACAAUUUUUCAUUUUCUUUUUCUGUCUUCGUGGCACGUUCUAAUGUCCUCUUUCUGCACUCAGGCAGCGAGGUAGACUUGAUACUGUCAAUGCUAUUAUAAUGACAGCCUCAGCGCUUCUUUCUGAUGAUAUUAUGAGAAAAAAAGACAAAUAAUGAAGAAAAGAAUCAACAUUGCUUAUUAUUGUUGAAUGUAAACAAAGUCUUUUUUGAGCAGCGAUACAAAAAGCUCCAAAAUCCUUAAAGUCCAGUCACAGCUACACAAUGAGCUGAGCCAUUAGCUUUCAUUGAUAGCCUGCUCUCCUGACAUCACUCACGUUACCUGCAGUGGACCAGGAUGGACGGCUGCUCCCCACACAGUAGAAACUGAUCAUUUGUGCAGAUUGAUAUUCAGCUUCAGUUUAAAGUGUGUGUGUGUGUGUGUGUGUGUGUGUCAGAGUAAAGCAUGACUUGAGACGCUAAAAUUGUACCGAUAGCUGAACCGUUAACUCCGGACCUCAAUACUCGGGUUUUACUCAUUUAGAAGGGGGCUACGGGGGGGCAUCCCUACCCUCCAUUCAAGUCUCAAAGAAAAACCCUGCAUCCCUGAUAGUGAGCCCUUUAUUAUCUCCACCAAUCACACUCCCAGGUCAAGGUCCAGGAGCAGGGACAUGGAACAGAACCGUUGCUUCAACCUGUACGUUUGUGAGACGUGUUCAUCCUUACAGGUUCAGUUAUUCACACAUGGCGUCUGAAACACUGAGUCUGUGUUUCAGUGAGUGCUGAUGUGUGUGUGUGUGUGUGUGUGUGUGUUUUUCAGACUAUUAUGACCCAGAGGAGAGGACUGACGAAGAGGCCGAGGCGAUCUUCUCUGAAGACGAGGCCGUCACUCAGAAAGGACUGAGACGAUCGCAGAGUGUCAAGAUCAUACGAUCCAGAGUCCGCAGAGACGCUCGUUACGGAUCCCUGAAGAUUAAAAGCAAGAAGAGACCAGCGCUGAGCUCUGUGAACUACGGAGUGUGAAGGGAAUACAGCAGACACACACACACACACACACACACCCUCACACCUCGCAGACCAGCGUGCUGAUUGGUGGAUGGUAUUCCAGCUCUUCUCCGUCUGACUUCUCACUCUGCUGAGCUCUGUUAUCUCUCUGAUGAUGAGCUUCUGACAUAUUUAUUACUUAAUUCAUCCAAAACUGGUGAUGCCACCAGAACCUACUCUCUGGGAGCUUUAGAUGUUUUUCUUUGGGUUUGAUGGCGUACAUUCCUGCAUGGACUAGUAUGUAUGUCAUUUGUUGUUCGUUAGAAUUGUAGUCGUGACGUGAUAUGCGUGCAGUCUUUUAGAUUGUUGAGGCUUUCUGUUUCAUUUCGUGCAAGCUUUGUGUUCUUACUUUCUAAUAAGUCAUUGUUUUAUGAAGAGUUCAUGAACACUCUAACUAAUCACUCUAAUUAAACAUUCUUUAAUGGCUUAAAGAAUAGUUCAAUCAUUUACCUUUGGGGAUCCUUUGGGCUUGUCCAAAGGUUGCUUUGUAGCUCUUUUAUUUGUCAGUGAGACCCAAACAGAAUAACAUUUACACCUGUUGAUUAUUAUAUCGUGUCAUUUACAUUUUGGCCACUUGGGGGCAGCACAACAAGCUGAAAUGACCCUUUUUUAUAAAGUUGUUGCGGCGAACGUGUUGGCAAACAGUUGCUUAUUUCACGUCCUGCAGACACCAAAUAUGUCCAAUACUGAACCUCCUUUAAGCUCACAGGAAUUCACAAGAAAAUAAAGUACAGCCUUGUUCAGUUCAGUACACUCUGGGGUUGCUGCUACAGCCUCACCAGGUCCAACAGUGACCUCCGGUGGCUGGGGAUGUCACUGAAACUGACACUUAGGUACCAAGACCAUGCCAAAAUUUCGGAAAACGUGACUGGACCUUUUUUUUUUUUUUUUCAGUACCGCAGGCACCGUUAGCUCGAGGCUAACAGCGGACGCAGUAAACUCACUAUCGACACACCCUAUUUUCUCCCUGAUAACACUACGUGAACAACAAAUCCAUCUUGGUACCAACAGGAAGAGAGCUAGCUAACGUUAGCGGUUAGCAGCAGUCCUGCAGAGUUAACUGCUUUCAAGCUCUACUCAGUAAAAAUUAGUAUUUGGCGAAUAUCGUGGUGUUAAAAUGUGAUCUUGUAAGAUGUGUUUUUUGGAGAGAAAAUUGAUUAAACCCAGUUGUUUGACAGAGAUGUCUGCUCAGCAAUAUGAAACCGAUAUUAGAGAGGGAAUUAUGAGCUUUAACAUCCUAUCACUAGCUCCAAGUGUUUAUUUUUUACCAUGGUAUCAAAUUGGGUACCGAGAAUCUCACACAGAAUUUCACUGGUAUUGGUAUCGACUGCCACAUUGCGUCAAUGCUAACGGUGGCAAAUGUUAGCAAGCUGCAGGGCUCUGGGUUUGAACUGCCACCCUCGGCUGUGCGGAGUGAUCUUCUUUCAUUGGGCCCACAGCUGCACCACCUUCUACUGCAGACGUUAGCCACUAGCUGCUGAGCAAAGUUUAUAUUGGACUUUAUAUCGCUUUCUUCUUUACUGAAAACAUGAUGAAGAGAUUUUUAAAAACCUCACAAUCCAAAAGUAGUUUAGAUGAAUGGCUCAUUAGCUGCUUCAAACCCCUUUAUAUGGAGGGCUCUAUUAAACGUUGCUUCUGCUGCCUUGCAUGUAUUUUAUCUACAAGGAGCUUAUUCCUAGUUAGUGUAGAAGUCCAUUAACUUCUGUAUGUGCUAGAGACCUUUACUGUGAGACACAUGCAACAUUCCCCGUCCCGGGGGAGGGGAGGCUCUGACAUGAACUUUAGGAGGCGGAUGAAUCCGACACUGGACCACCAGCAGAUGAACACUAUCCUCGAUGCUGUCAGAGGAGGAGGAACCAAAGGGAAGAGAGAACCAAAUGAAUGGAACACAGUGACUACCAAGUUUCUCUGUGCAGACUCGCAGCCUUUAUAAAGGCCCAGAACUCCCGCUCACUAUUAACGGCCGUUUCCUGUUUCCUUCCUUUUUACGCCUGUAUUUUUAUGGCUGUGUCCCGAUCACACGCCUGGUUGUAAAUUUCUUGCUGUGUUUUUUUUUUUGUAUCAGUGAAGAUUAGUUUUAGCUAUUUAAAUUGUAUUUUUUGUGUGUGUGUGUGUGUGUUACGUUUGAAUCAAAAUUAGUCUUUUAUGUUAACCACCUCUUUUUACACAUUUACCUCCCAAAUCUUUAGUUUUGUUAUCAAUGCUGUUGCUUGUCAUCUCAUGAUUUAUUGUACUUUGAUCACUCUAGAUGAUGGAUGCUAAUACUAACGGCGCUCUCGUGACAUUUAGUGUGGCUCGUUUUUGUCUGCUGUAAAUGACUUCCUGACGUAGCAGUACUCUUGGAGACCUUGAAGCCGAUACAGAAGAGUAACAAGUUCAAGGAAAAAGUGCUUCCAUGAGUAUGAAGCUCUCCAACAUCUACAGGAGAUUUUGAAGCCACGUGUUGAUCGCAAAUUAUCAUUUCUGCACAGCUGUGAGGUUAAGUGCAACAUAUCUGACCGUACACACACUGCACAUGUGUGCUCCCAGUGUAGUAAUAUAAAUCUAAUGAAUAAAUCAUAUAAACGUGUCCGUGGCUGCUUUACAUAUUGUUGUACCAUGCUGGCAUGGUAAGAAUGGGUUAAUAACUGAGUAUACACAGUACAUAUCUUUAGACAGCACAUCAUCAAAGCAUGACAUGGUCUGAGAUCCUGAAGCAGAGCUUUCACCCAUAACAAGCCAAACUUCCUCAUGUCACGAUGCCCUUUAAUGCUCAUAACUGAAUAUUGAUACCAAAGCUUCACGUACUCACCCGGAACAUGUGUGGCUGGAUGUUUUUUUAUUAUCCGUGUGGGUAAAAUGUCUGGUGUGUGGACUGUAAAUGCAAUACAAUGAAUAAAAAAAACAUUUUUGUUGUGA